RNAcentral lists this ribosomal RNA (382 nucleotides) under uncultured eukaryote. RNAcentral describes it as "partial 18S ribosomal RNA". It matches the Rfam family "Eukaryotic small subunit ribosomal RNA", at positions 592 to 976 of the family's 1831-position model. The record is from RNAcentral.
UGUAAGCGUAUACCAAAGUUGUUGCAGUUAAAACGCUCGUAGUCGGAAUUUGGCAGUUCCGGAAGUGUGCACGUCGUGUGCGCACUUUGCGGGGACUGCUUUUGUGGUCUUGCGUAGGAUGAGGCACUUUCAUUAGUGAACGUCCUCACGCAACCACUCUUUACUGUGAGAAAAUCAGAGUGCUCAAAGCAGGCAUUUGCCGUGAAUGUAUUAGCAUGGAAUAAUAGAAUAGGACUCGGUUCUAUUUUAUUGGUUUGUUGGGACUGAGUAAUGAUUAAGAGGGACAGUUGGGGGCAUUUGUAUUCCGGCGCUAGAGGUGAAAUUCUUAGAUUGCCGGAAGACAAACUGCUGCGAAAGCGUCUGCCAAGGAUGUUUUCAUUGA